CGGGGUGUGGCUCAGUUUGGCUAGAGCACUUGAUUUGGGAUCAAGGGGUCGGGAGUUCGAAUCUCUUCACCCCGACCA
This 78-nucleotide transfer RNA is filed under the name Bacillota bacterium. Its description in RNAcentral is "tRNA-Pro". It matches the Rfam family "tRNA". From Rfam's summary of the family: Transfer RNA (tRNA) molecules are approximately 80 nucleotides in length. Their secondary structure includes four short double-helical elements and three loops (D, anti-codon, and T loops). Lineage: Bacteria; Bacillati; Bacillota. RNAcentral also lists the same sequence under 1 other name. The record is from RNAcentral.